GAUGAACGCUGGCGGCGUGCUUAACACAUGCAAGUCGAACGAAGCAUUUAGAACAGAUUAUUUCGGUAUGAAGUUCUUUAUGACUGAGUGGCGGACGGGUGAGUAACGCGUGGGUAACCUGCCUUGUACUGGGGGAUAGCAGCUGGAAACGGCUGGUAAUACCGCAUAAGCGCACAAUGUUGCAUGACAUGGUGUGAAAAACUCCGGUGGUAUAAGAUGGACCCGCGUCUGAUUAGCUAGUUGGUGAGAUAACAGCCCACCAAGGCGACGAUCAGUAGCAGACCUGAGAGGGUGACCGGCCACAGUGGGACUGAGACACGGCCCAGACUACUACGGGAGGCAGCAAUGGGGAAUAUUGAACAAUGGAGGAAACUCUGAUGCAGCGACGCCGCGUGAGUGGGGAAGUAAUUCGUUAUGUAAAGCUCUAUCAGCAGGGAAGAUAGUGACGGUACCUGACUAAGAAGCUCCGGCUAAAUACGUGCCAGCCGCUGCGGUAA
Molecule: ribosomal RNA, 497 nt
Filed under: uncultured bacterium
Lineage: Bacteria
Description: partial 16S ribosomal RNA
Rfam family: Bacterial small subunit ribosomal RNA
Source: RNAcentral